GACGAACGCUGGCGGCGUGCUUAACACAUGCAAGUCGAACGGAAAGGCCCUGCUUUUGUGGGGUGCUCGAGUGGCGAACGGGUGAGUAACACGUGAGUAACCUGCCCUUGACUUUGGGAUAACUUCAGGAAACUGGGGCUAAUACCGGAUAGGAGCUCCUGCUGCAUGGUGGGGGUUGGAAAGUUUCGGCGGUUGGGGAUGGACUCGCGGCUUAUCAGCUUGUUGGUGGGUUAGUGGCUUACCAAGGCUUUGACGGGUAGCCGGCCUGAGAGGGUGACCGGCCACAUUGGGACUGAGAUACGGCCCAGACUCCUACGGGAGGCAGCAGUGGGGAAUAUUGCACAAUGGGCGGAAGCCUGAUGCAGCAACGCCGCGUGCGGGAUGACGGCCUUCGGGUUGUAAACCGCUUUCGCCUGUGACGAAGCGUGAGUGACGGUAAUGGGUAAAGAAGCACCGGCUAACUACGUG
Molecule: ribosomal RNA, 468 nt
Filed under: uncultured bacterium
Lineage: Bacteria
Description: partial 16S ribosomal RNA
Rfam family: Bacterial small subunit ribosomal RNA
Source: RNAcentral